RNAcentral lists this ribosomal RNA (253 nucleotides) under uncultured bacterium. Its description in RNAcentral is "partial 16S ribosomal RNA". It matches the Rfam family "Bacterial small subunit ribosomal RNA", at positions 524 to 776 of the family's 1533-position model. The record is from RNAcentral.
UACGUAGGUGGCAAGCGUCAUCCGGAUUUAUUGGGCGUAAAGAGAACGCAGGCGGUCUUUUAAGUCUGAUGUGAAAGCCUUCGGCUUAACCGGAGUAGUGCAUUGGAAACUGGGAGACUUGAGUGCAGAAGAGGAGAGUGGAACUCCAUGUGUAGCGGUGAAAUGCGUAGAUAUAUGGAAGAACACCAGUGGCGAAAGCGGCUCUCUGGUCUGUAACUGACGCUGAGGUUCGAAAGCGUGGGUAGCAAACAGG